AUACAAGACUCGCGUGUUCACGCUAGCGACAGAACAACUGGCGACGAGGACGACGUUACUUCACGCAGCAGACGUCCUGAUCAGACCUACUGGUUUCUGCUUGUCAGCGUUCCAGCCGCAGCGACCGAGAGAGCGCCUCUGACUCACUUCUACGACUGUGACUACAGGGAAACAACACUAAUUGAGUGAAAAUGGAAUAACUGACCCACAGAAAGAAGGCAAUUCUGCUGGCCAACAUUCCCAGCUCAACAUAUCAGCUGAUCAAAAAGAUCUAGAAAGAACACCCCUCUCUCUCUCUCUCUCUCUCUCUCUCUCGCUUGGGAUUGCGUGCAAACAAUGAUAGUCAAGUAUUUUGUGGUCUCUAGUAUCUUCCUCCUGUCUCGGGCUGCACCUCCCUCCCCCCCCCCGAGACGGGUUGAAGAUAUUGUGGACAACAUAACAAAAUUUGGUCUUCCACCAGCAACACCAUGAUUAUUAUUAUAACACUUUUUUUCUUUUUGGAUCCGUUUUUGAGUUUACAUUAUCUCUCGCGACAGCAAGAUUUUCAUAGCAUAUAUUAUACAGUCGUGUUUCUCUAAUAGGGCGUCUUAUUAGACCAAGGUUUUAUACCUUAUUCCUAUAUAGAUCUUUGCAUGUAUACCCACCUGGUGGUGGACAUAUCUCAUCCAACCCAACAGGUGGUUCAUACAUAUCAUGCAGAGUCCUACGUGGAUUAUCCGAGGAUUGGAUUGUAUGCACCGUCUUCCACGGUUCCUCUAUCUUUUGUCUACUAUCUUGUGUAAUAUUGUGUAAUACACCAACACCAAUGCAUGUCACCC
Corticium candelabrum is the source of this 818-nucleotide long non-coding RNA. RefSeq lists it as uncharacterized. The record is from RefSeq and is a predicted model, not a curated record. The transcript is spliced from 3 exons. NCBI's taxonomy places the organism in Eukaryota, Metazoa, Porifera, Homoscleromorpha, Homosclerophorida, Plakinidae.